RNAcentral lists this ribosomal RNA (229 nucleotides) under uncultured bacterium. RNAcentral's name for it is "partial 16S ribosomal RNA". It matches the Rfam family "Bacterial small subunit ribosomal RNA", at positions 568 to 796 of the family's 1533-position model. The record is from RNAcentral.
UGCGCAGGCGGGCUUGUAAGUCAGUGGUGAAAUUCUGCCGCUUAACGGUAGAACUGCCAUUGAUACUGCAAGUCUUGAAUAUGGUUGAGGUAGGCGGAAUGUGUUGUGUAGCGGUGAAAUGCAUAGAUAUGACACAGAACGCCAAUUGCGAAGGCAGCUUACUAAGCCAUUAUUGACGCUGAGGCACGAAAGCGUGGGGAGCGAACAGGAUUAGAUCCCCUGGUAGUCC